AGUCGACAGCUACUGCUUCUGUUCUUCACUAACUGCUCCCUAUUUAUUUGCCAGAAAUGCAAAAAUUCAACCAAGUGCUACCUAGGAACCUCUAUCAGCAAGUACCUAGCAUUCCAGCAGAUGGGGAUGUCUAUACAUAAAAGAGAGGUCUCUGAUCAGUAAUGUGAGACGUGAGACUUUCCCACACUUCACAAUGAUGACUUGUGCUUUCAGAAGAUCCAGAAUCUUAAUAUAUCUUUGCACAGAAAGGUAUGUCACUAAUUGCUAUAUGGAAUAAUUUGGGUUAGACUAGUUAU
RNAcentral lists this long non-coding RNA (296 nucleotides) under Phascolarctos cinereus (koala). Its description in RNAcentral is "lncRNA (ENSPCIG00000034337.1)". The record is from RNAcentral. Lineage: Eukaryota; Metazoa; Chordata; Mammalia; Diprotodontia; Phascolarctidae.